UACGUAGGGGGCAAGCGUUGUCCGGAAUUAUUGGGCGUAAAGAGCUCGUAGGCGGCUUGGCAAGUCGGGUGUGAAACCUCCAGGCUCAACCUGGAGACGCCACUCGAUACUGCCAUGGCUUGAGUCUGGUAGGGGAUCACGGAAUUCCUGGUGUAGCGGUGAAAUGCGCAGAUAUCAGGAGGAACACCGGUGGCGAAGGCGGUGAUCUGGGCCAGUACUGACGCUGAGGAGCGAAAGCGUGGGGAGCAAACAGG
Molecule: ribosomal RNA, 254 nt
Filed under: uncultured bacterium
Lineage: Bacteria
Description: partial 16S ribosomal RNA
Rfam family: Bacterial small subunit ribosomal RNA
Source: RNAcentral